This 305-nucleotide ribosomal RNA is filed under the name uncultured bacterium. RNAcentral's name for it is "bacterial SSU rRNA". It matches the Rfam family "Bacterial small subunit ribosomal RNA", at positions 337 to 660 of the family's 1533-position model. The record is from RNAcentral.
UCCUACGGGGGGCAGCAGUGGGGGAUAUUGCACAAUGGGGGAAACCCUGAUGCAGCAACGCCGCGUGAGUGAAGAAGUAUUUCGGUAUGUAAAGCUCUAUCAGCAGGGAAGAGAAUGACGGUACCUGACUAAGAAGCCCCGGCUAACUACGUGCCAGCAGCCGCGGUAAUACGGAGGAUGCGAGCGUUAUCCGGAUUUAUUGGGUUUAAAGGGUGCGUAGGCGGAAUGCCAAGUCAGCGGUAAAAUCGCGGGGCUCAACCUCGCUCCGCCGUUGAAACUGGCGUUCUUGAGUGGGCGAGAAGUAU